This 957-nucleotide long non-coding RNA is filed under the name Heterocephalus glaber (naked mole-rat). RNAcentral's name for it is "lncRNA (ENSHGLG00000040672.1)". The record is from RNAcentral. Lineage: Eukaryota; Metazoa; Chordata; Mammalia; Rodentia; Bathyergidae.
GUUGAGCUGGGGGCGGCCUGGGGAGCGGCGAGGCCCAGGCAGACAGAUGUGCAGGGCUUCUAUCUGAAUUCAAGGGGGCGCUCAGCUCCAUCAAGGGCCCCUGAGAGCUGCUGAGCACGCGCGAAGCAACCAAGAUCCUGUCACCUCAGAGACCGUGCUGCGUCCUCCUUUGGCUGGGCCAGGAGCAGCUGCCCGGGGUUCCCUGUCCCACCGUGGCUGCAAAGGCGGGGUCUCCAGGCUGAAGGACCCCGAGGGUCUCCGAACAUCAGGAAGUCGCCCAGCCUGGGCUGCCUGGGCUUGAACUUGUGGUCCUCCUGCCUCAGCUGCCCAGAGCCCUGGGAUCAUAGCAUGCGUGUAUCCAGGACACCAUUCAUUCAGCCUUCCCAGCAACUCAGCGCAUUCGGAGCUGUUAUAUCUCCACUUUAGCAACGGGAAACUGAGGCACGGAGGUGAAAAGGAACUGGACACACAGCCAGCAAGUGGUGAGCACUGGGACCUGGGCCCAGCCCAGCAGAGACUGUGCUGCCUCAGCAGUGCACACCAGGGGUCCAAUAGUGACACUGCUUUCCCUUCCCAGCCUGCUCCACCCUCCCCGGAAGUCUGGGGUGCCUUUGAGGGGGACAUUUCAGCAGGGCAGGGACAGAGACAGGCAAGUAGGAGCCCAGGGCAAACCCGGGGCUGGCCCCACCUUGCCAGGGAUGCUCCGAAAAGUUUGCCUGAGGCAGGAGGAUGUCAACUUUGAGCCCGGACCCCCUUCCAGCCAGGGAGAGUUGGGAAAAGGGUGCUGCAGUCAGCCCGGGGAGGCCCACCCAGCUGUGGGAGCAGGUCGGGGACGGACUGCUUUCCGGAUAGGCCUUCUUGUCCCUGUGGUGUGGCCUGGGAGACCCCAGGGUCCCCCUGAGAGCAGUCCACCCCGCGCACAGGGGAACAGCCCCCACUCCCAGCUGUCACACGAGC